UUCAAAACAGGGAUUCGAUUCCGAAUUCUUCCACAACAGAGUUUGAUCCUGGCUCAGAUUGAACGCUGGCGGCAGGCCUAUCACAUGCCAGUCGAGCGGAUGAUGGGAGCUUGCUCCCGGAUUCAGCGGCGGACGGGUGAGUAAUGCCUACGAAUCUGCCUGGUAGUGGGGGACAACGUUUCGAAAGGAACGCUAAUACCGCAUACGUCCUACGGGAGAAAGCAGGGGACCUUCGGGCCUUGCGCUAUCAGAUGAACCUAUGUCGGAUUAACUAGUUGGUGGGGUAAAGGCCUACCAGGGCGACGAUCCGUAACUGGUCUGAGAGGAUGAUCAGUCACACUGGAGCUGAGACGCGGUCCAUACUCCUACGGUAGGCAGCAGUGGGGAAUAUUGGACAAUGGGCGAAAACCUGAUCCAACCAUGCCGCGUGUGUG
This 434-nucleotide ribosomal RNA is filed under the name uncultured bacterium. RNAcentral's name for it is "bacterial SSU rRNA". It matches the Rfam family "Bacterial small subunit ribosomal RNA", at positions 1 to 407 of the family's 1533-position model. The record is from RNAcentral.